AGUGAACGCUGGCGGUAGGCCUAACACAUGCAAGUCGAACGGCAGCACAGUAAGAGCUUGCUCUUACGGGUGGCGAGUGGCGGACGGGUGAGGAAUACAUCGGAAUCUACUUUUUCGUGGGGGAUAACGUAGGGAAACUUACGCUAAUACCGCAUACGACCUACGGGUGAAAGCAGGGGAUCUUCGGACCUUGCGCGAUUGAGUGAGCCGAUGUCGGAUUAGCUAGUUGGCGGGGUAAAGGCCCACCAAGGCGACGAUCCGCAGCUGGUCUGAGAGGAUGAUCAGCCACACUGGAACUGAGACACGGUCCAGACUCCUACGGGAGGCAGCAGUGGGGAAUAUUGGACAAUGGGCGCAAGCCUGAUCCAGCCAUACCGCGUGGGUGAAGAAGGCCUUCGGGUUGUAAAGCCCUUUUGUUGGGAAAGAAAAGCAGCAGGUUAAUACCCCGCUGUUCUGACGGUACCCAAAGAAUAAGCACCGGCUAACUUCGUG
Molecule: ribosomal RNA, 492 nt
Filed under: uncultured bacterium
Lineage: Bacteria
Description: partial 16S ribosomal RNA
Rfam family: Bacterial small subunit ribosomal RNA
Source: RNAcentral